ACGUACGCUGGCGGCACGCCUAACACAUGCAAGUCGAACGAAGUAGCAAUACUUAGUGGCAGACGGGUGAGUAACAUGUAGGUAUCUGCCCUUUGGCCUGGAAUAACACGAGGAAACUUGUGCUAAUACCGGAUAAGUCUUUACGGAGAAAGCUUUAUGCACCAUUGGAUGAGCCUGCACUUGAUUAGUUUGUUGGUGGGGUAAUGGCCUACCAAGACUGUGAUCAAUAGCUGAUUUGAGAGGAUGAUCAGCCACAUUGGGACUGAGACACGGCCCAAACUCCUACGGGAGGCAGCAGUGGGGAAUCUUGCACAAUGGAGGAAACUCUGAUGCAGCGAUGCCGCGUGAGUGAAGAAGGCCCUUGGGUUGUAAAGCUCUUUCGUCGGGGAAGAAAAUGACUGUACCCGAAUAAGAAGGUCCGGCUAACUUCGUGCCAGCAGCCGCGGUAAUACGAAGGGACCUAGCGUAGUUCGGAAUUACUGGGCUUAAAGAGUUCGUAGGUGGUUGAAAAAGUUAGUGGUGAAAUCCCAGAGCUUAACUCUGGAACUGCCAUUAAAACUUUUCAGCUAGAGUAUGAUAGAGGAAAGCAGAAUUUCUAGUGUAGAGGUGAAAUUCGUAGAUAUUAGAAAGAAUACCAAUUGCGAAGGCAGCUUUCUGGAUCAUUACUGACACUGAGGAACGAAAGCAUGGGUAGCGAAGAGGAUUAGAUACCCUCGUAGUCCAUGCCGUAAACGAUGUGUGUUAGACGUUGGAAAUUUAUUUUCAGUGUCGCAGCGAAAGCGAUAAACACACCGCCUGGGGAGUACGACCGCAAGGUUAAAACUCAAAUGAAUUGACGGGGACCCGCACAAGUAGUGGAGCAUGUGGUUUAAUUCGAAGAUACGCGCAGAACCUUACCAACACUUGACAUGUUCGUCGCGACUCUAAGAGAUUAGAGUUUUCGGUUCGGCCGGACGAAACACAGGUGCUGCAUGGCUGUCGUCAGCUCGUGUCGUGAGAUGUUGGGUUAAGUCCCGCAACGAGCGCAACCCUCACUUUUAGUUGCCAUCAUUAAGUUGGGCACUCUGAAAGAACUGCCAGUGAUAAGCUGGAGGAAGGUGGGGAUGACGUCAAGUCCUCAUGGCCCUUACGUGUUGGGCUACACACGUGCUACAAUGGUAUCUACAACAGGAAGCAAGACUGCGAAGUUAAGCAAAUCCCUAAAAGAUACCUCAGUUCGGAUUGCACUCUGCAACUCGAGUGCAUGAAGCUGGAAUUACUAGUAAUCGUGGAUCAGCGUGCCACGGUGAAUGCGUUCCCGGGUCUUGUACACACCGCCCGUCAAGGGC
RNAcentral lists this ribosomal RNA (1328 nucleotides) under uncultured Alphaproteobacteria bacterium. RNAcentral's name for it is "bacterial SSU rRNA". It matches the Rfam family "Bacterial small subunit ribosomal RNA", at positions 29 to 1404 of the family's 1533-position model. The record is from RNAcentral. Lineage: Bacteria; Pseudomonadati; Pseudomonadota; Alphaproteobacteria.